AAAUUGAAGAGUUUGAUCAUGGCUCAGAUUGAACGCUGGCGGCAGGCCUAACACAUGCAAGUCGAACGGUAACAGGAAGCAGCUUGCUGUUUUGCUGACGAGUGGCGGACGGGUGAGUAAUGUCUGGGAAACUGCCUGAUGGAGGGGGAUAACUACUGGAAACGGUGGCUAAUACCGCAUAACGUCGC
RNAcentral lists this ribosomal RNA (188 nucleotides) under Salmonella enterica. RNAcentral's name for it is "partial 16S ribosomal RNA". It matches the Rfam family "Bacterial small subunit ribosomal RNA", at positions 1 to 182 of the family's 1533-position model. Lineage: Bacteria; Pseudomonadati; Pseudomonadota; Gammaproteobacteria; Enterobacterales; Enterobacteriaceae. The record is from RNAcentral.